GGUGGCUGUCAGUGACCGCACUGGCCUUGCGAUCGAGUGUUGAUUUCUAGACUACAGCAAGAAAAAUACCUACUUAUCAUCCUGAUAGAUUGCAACAUUUAAUUAUUAAAGGAAGGUACAUGACUGACUGAAAGAGUAACACAAAAAAUGGCGCCACACUGGAAUUUUAAGAUGUAGGAUGGACCUGUAUCAUAGAACCGGUGACGUAUGGAGCGAGUGCGUGACGACGGCCAGGAGAUCCAAUUUGAUCGCUGAAGCCUGAAGCUCGGAGGGAUGACGCGACCGCCGCAGCUGGCCCGUUGAUGUCUUUCGUUUGAAACUUGUCUUAUGAGUUCAUUGUCGUAGCAAAUAUAAUAUUUAUUAACUCACGAUUAACAAGACACAUUGUGAGGAUAGCGUUU
Molecule: long non-coding RNA, 401 nt
Organism: Colias croceus (clouded yellow)
Lineage: Eukaryota; Metazoa; Arthropoda; Insecta; Lepidoptera; Pieridae
Exons: 3
Source: RefSeq, a predicted model, not a curated record